RNAcentral lists this ribosomal RNA (535 nucleotides) under uncultured bacterium. Its description in RNAcentral is "partial 16S ribosomal RNA". It matches the Rfam family "Bacterial small subunit ribosomal RNA", at positions 28 to 523 of the family's 1533-position model. The record is from RNAcentral.
GACGAACGCUGGCGGCGUGCCUAAUACAUGCAAGUCGAGCGAGCUUGCCUAGAAGAUUUUGAUGCUUGCAUCAAAUGAAACUAGAUACAAGCUAGCGGCGGACGGGUGAGUAACACGUGGGUAACCUGCCCAAGAGACUGGGAUAACACCUGGAAACAGAUGCUAAUACCGGAUAACAACAAUAGACGUAUGUCUAGAGUUUGAAAGAUGGGUUUUCUAUCACUCUUGGAUGGACCUGCGGUGCAUUAGCUAGUUGGUAAGGUAACGGCUUACCAAGGCAAUGAUGCAUAGCCGAGUUGAGAGACUGAUCGGCCACAUUGGGACUGAGACACGGCCCAAACUCCUACGGGAGGCAGCAGUAGGGAAUCUUCCACAAUGGACGAAAGUCUGAUGGAGCAACGCCGCGUGAGUGAAGAAGGGUUUCGGCUCGUAAAGCUCUGUUGAUGGUGAAGAAAGGUAGAGGUAGUAACUGGCCUUUAUUUGACGGUAAUCAUUUAGAAAGUCACGGCUAACUACGUGCCAGCAGCCGCCGUAA